Arvicanthis niloticus (Nile rat) is the source of this 146-nucleotide small nucleolar RNA. RefSeq annotates it as small nucleolar RNA SNORA48. Lineage: Eukaryota; Metazoa; Chordata; Mammalia; Rodentia; Muridae. The record is from RefSeq and is a predicted model, not a curated record.
UCCCUUCGCAAUGGGCAAAGAGACAUCUUGCUUGUUGUUGGUGGUGUUCUUAAAUCAGUCCGGGCAGAGCAGACAACAGUCCUUUGUUCAUCCUAGCUUGAUGCCUGAUUUGGUGACCAAAUCUGUUUUCUGCCUAGGACACAGAA